CGUGUAGGCGGUUCGUUAAGUCGGGUGUGAAAGCCCGGGGCUCAGCUCCGGAAGUGCGUCCGAAACUGGCGAGCUGGAGCGCGGUAGAGGAGGGUGGAAUUCCUGGUGUAGCGGUGAAAUGCGUAGAUAUCAGGAGGAACACCGGCGGCGAAGGCGGCCCUCUGGACCGUUGCUGACGCUGAGACGCGAAAGCGUGGGGAGCAAACAGGAUUAGAUACCCUGGUAGUCCACGCUGUAAACGAUGGGUACUAGGUGUUCGGGGUGUUGACCCCCUGAGUGCCGACGCUAACGCAUUAAGUACCCCGCCUGGGGACUACGGCCGCAAGGUUAAA
Molecule: ribosomal RNA, 332 nt
Filed under: uncultured bacterium
Lineage: Bacteria
Description: bacterial SSU rRNA
Rfam family: Bacterial small subunit ribosomal RNA
Source: RNAcentral